UUCAUCGAUUUAUGUAAUUCCUUUUAGAUGAGUUGGAUCCUUAUACUUAAAACUAUCAAUUUAAUUUUAAGACUUCAUAUUAUUUAAAUAGUUUUUUUUAAAUGUUCACAGUAUUGUGAAAACCACGACCAGUACCAAGAAAUAUGGUGUGUCGAUGACCAGGACAUAUUGAAUAAGAAAGGUAAAUUUGCCAAAGAUUAUUCAAAUGGAUUCAUUGGGAGGGAUAUAGAUUUAGUCGAUCGUGAUAAUAAAUGUGGAUGUAAUAAUAAGUACGUAACGUUUUAUAUGUUAUUAGAUGGAUAUAAUAAUGCAAAUGAUCCACUAACUUGCUAAGCAUUCAAUUAGCCUAUUUAGUCUAAUAAAUACUUGAAUUAAUUGUUAUUGCCAAAUGCUGUAAUUAGGCUCAAAAUAUGUACUAUUAAUUAAUAAAUUGUGUCUUCUAUUAAUUAUUUGAUCCUCAUAGAACCAUUUUUUUACUUUGUUGUAAUCUAAACACUAUUAAUCGUAGGUACCUACUUGAAAUUUUUAUUUUUAUUAAAAAUAUACAAUCUGUGUCAGUCACAUAUUCUAGUAGUGGUUGUAACUAGAUUCAGCGAAAAAAUAUUGACUUAUCUGCAAGACCUACUCCGCGAUGGUAACGAUGAUUAGGUAACAAAUAAUAAAUACUUACAUAUUAUCAAAUCUAAAAUAGUUUAAAAAUAUUGUGGCAUUUUAAAGACAAUUGUUGUCAUAUGUUAAUUAUAUUAUUAUAAUAAAGAAAUUAUAUUAUUACUA
This is a long non-coding RNA of Acyrthosiphon pisum (pea aphid), 774 nucleotides long. RefSeq lists it as uncharacterized. The record is from RefSeq and is a predicted model, not a curated record. The transcript is spliced from 2 exons. Lineage: Eukaryota; Metazoa; Arthropoda; Insecta; Hemiptera; Aphididae.